UACGUAGGGUCCGAGCGUUUGUCCGGAAUUACUGGGCGUAAAGAGCUCGUAGGUGGUUUGUCGCGUUGUUCGUGAAAACUCACAGCUCAACUGUGGGCGUGCGGGCGAUACGGGCAGACUUGAGUACUGCAGGGGAGACUGGAAUUCCUGGUGUAGCGGUGGAAUGCGCAGAUAUCAGGAGGAACACCGGUGGCGAAGGCGGGGUCUCUGGGCAGUAACUGACGCUGAGGAGCGAAAGCGUGGGGAGCGAACAGG
This 255-nucleotide ribosomal RNA is filed under the name uncultured bacterium. Its description in RNAcentral is "partial 16S ribosomal RNA". It matches the Rfam family "Bacterial small subunit ribosomal RNA", at positions 524 to 776 of the family's 1533-position model. The record is from RNAcentral.